AUGGCGCAGGCCAAGCGGUACGUGCUGCGCCUCUUCAUCUCGCUCAAGUACGUGACGGCCAACGUGGUGGACCGGCAGAGCGGCCGCGUCGUGGUCACCGCCUCCACCGUCGAGAAGCCCCUCCGGGACGGGCUGGAGUGCGGCCGCGCCUGCAACGCCAAGGCGGCCGCGGCCGUCGGCGAGGUGCUCGCCAUGCGCCUCCGGGUCGACGGCCUGGCGCGCGAGCCCAUCCACGCCGACGCCGCCAAGGAGGUCGAGAAGAAGGGCUUCAAGAACCGCACCAAGGUCUGGGCCAUCCUCAACGCGCUCCGCAGCCACGGCGUCAACCUCCACGUCGACGACGACGGCGACCAUAGGCGGCAUGUCUGA
This 369-nucleotide ribosomal RNA is filed under the name Triticum aestivum (bread wheat). RNAcentral describes it as "partial small subunit ribosomal RNA". The record is from RNAcentral. Lineage: Eukaryota; Viridiplantae; Streptophyta; Magnoliopsida; Poales; Poaceae.